Molecule: RNA transcript, 1936 nt
Organism: Mangifera indica (mango)
Lineage: Eukaryota; Viridiplantae; Streptophyta; Magnoliopsida; Sapindales; Anacardiaceae
Gene name: polyubiquitin-like
Exons: 2
Source: RefSeq, a predicted model, not a curated record
CUCUUCCUUUAUUCCUCACAAUUUUCGAUCAAAAAUCCUCUUAUUCUCGCUAUCAACAGCAAAUUUCUUAACAUGCAGAUCUUCGUCAAAACCCUCACCGGCAAGACAAUAACUCUCGAGGUCGAGAGUUCUGAUACAAUCGACAACGUCAAGGCCAAAAUCCAAGACAAGGAAGGCAUCCCACCGGAUCAGCAACGUCUGAUCUUUGCCGGAAAGCAACUCGAGGACGGCCGUACUUUGGCCGAUUAUAACAUUCAGAAGGAGUCAACCCUCCACCUUGUCCUCCGUCUCCGUGGAGGCAUGCAGAUCUUCGUCAAGACUCUUACCGGCAAGACUAUUACUCUGGAGGUGGAGAGCUCCGACACCAUUGAUAACGUCAAGGCCAAGAUCCAGGACAAGGAAGGGAUCCCACCGGAUCAGCAACGUUUGAUCUUUGCCGGAAAGCAACUCGAGGACGGCCGUACCUUGGCCGAUUACAACAUACAGAAGGAGUCGACUCUACACCUUGUCCUCCGUCUCCGUGGAGGGAUGCAGAUCUUCGUCAAGACUCUCACCGGCAAGACUAUCACUCUUGAGGUUGAGGGCUCCGACACCAUUGACAACGUCAAGGCCAAGAUCCAAGACAAGGAGGGUAUCCCACCGGACCAGCAGCGUCUGAUCUUUGCCGGAAAGCAGCUCGAGGACGGCCGUACCUUGGCCGAUUAUAACAUCCAGAAGGAGUCAACCCUCCAUCUUGUGCUCCGUCUCCGUGGAGGGAUGCAGAUCUUCGUGAAGACUCUCACCGGCAAGACCAUUACACUUGAGGUGGAGAGCUCCGACACGAUUGACAACGUAAAGGCCAAGAUCCAAGAUAAGGAGGGCAUCCCCCCGGACCAGCAGCGAUUGAUUUUCGCCGGAAAGCAAUUAGAGGACGGCCGAACCUUGGCCGAUUAUAACAUCCAGAAGGAGUCAACCCUACACCUUGUUCUCCGCCUCCGUGGAGGGAUGCAGAUCUUCGUCAAGACUCUCACCGGGAAAACCAUAACUCUUGAGGUGGAGAGCUCCGACACCAUCGACAAUGUGAAGGCCAAGAUCCAAGAUAAGGAGGGUAUUCCCCCGGACCAGCAGCGAUUGAUCUUCGCCGGCAAGCAAUUAGAGGACGGUCGAACCUUGGCUGAUUACAACAUCCAGAAGGAGUCAACCCUCCAUCUCGUUCUCCGUCUCCGUGGUGGUAUGCAGAUCUUCGUCAAGACUCUCACCGGCAAAACCAUAACCCUUGAAGUGGAAAGUUCUGAUACCAUAGACAAUGUCAAGGCGAAGAUCCAAGACAAGGAGGGAAUCCCCCCGGAUCAGCAGCGAUUGAUUUUUGCUGGGAAGCAAUUGGAAGACGGCCGCACCUUGGCCGACUAUAACAUCCAAAAGGAGUCAACUCUUCAUCUUGUGCUGAGGCUUCGUGGAGGCAUGCAGAUAUUUGUCAAGACCCUUACCGGAAAGACGAUAACCCUGGAGGUGGAGAGCUCUGAUACGAUCGAUAAUGUGAAGGCUAAGAUCCAGGACAAGGAGGGGAUUCCACCGGAUCAGCAGAGGCUUAUCUUCGCUGGGAAGCAGCUGGAGGAUGGGCGUACCUUGGCUGAUUAUAACAUUCAGAAGGAGUCCACCCUCCACCUUGUUCUCCGUCUUCGUGGUGGCAGAUUAAUUUUUGUGCAAACUCUGACCGGCAAGACCAUCACUCUGGAAGUUGAGAGUUCCGAUACCAUCGACAAUGUUAAAGCCAAAAUUCAAGAUAAGGAAGGAAUGAAGGCAUCCCUCCCAACCAGCAACGUUUGAUCUUCGCCGGUAAACAACUUGAAGUGAUUACAACAUCUAAAAGGAGUCGAUCGACCCUCCAUCUAAAAGGUCUUCUUGUACUCUUUGUUUCUUUCUGAUUUCAAUAAUAAGCAUUUCGUUCGUAUUUAAA